RNAcentral lists this ribosomal RNA (253 nucleotides) under uncultured bacterium. RNAcentral's name for it is "partial 16S ribosomal RNA". It matches the Rfam family "Bacterial small subunit ribosomal RNA", at positions 524 to 776 of the family's 1533-position model. The record is from RNAcentral.
UACGUAGGGUGCGAGCGUUGUCCGGAUUUAUUGGGCGUAAAGAGCGUGUAGGCGGCCAGGUAGGUCUGCUGUGAAAACUCGAGGCUCAACCUCGAGACGUCGGCGGAAACCAUCUGGCUAGAGUCCGGAAGAGGAGAGUGGAAUUCCUGGUGUAGCGGUGAAAUGCGCAGAUAUCGGGAAGAACACCCGUGGCGAAGGCGGCUCUCUGGGACGGUACUGACGCUGAGACGCGAAAGCGUGGGGAGCGAACAGG